RNAcentral lists this unclassified non-coding RNA (272 nucleotides) under Entoloma sp. Its description in RNAcentral is "partial internal transcribed spacer region". The stretch from base 1 to 46 matches the Rfam family "Eukaryotic small subunit ribosomal RNA", at positions 1786 to 1831 of the family's 1831-position model. Lineage: Eukaryota; Fungi; Basidiomycota; Agaricomycetes; Agaricales; Entolomataceae. The record is from RNAcentral.
AAGUCGUAACAAGGUUUCCGUAGGUGAACCUGCGGAAGGAUCAUUAUUGAAUAAAAUUGGGUUGGGUUGUUUGCUGGCUCUUAGGAGCAACGUGCACACCUACUCCAUUUUUUUUUAACCACCUGUGCACUCUGUGUAGACCUUGAAAAGCCAAGCUCUUCAGGUCUAUGUCUUCUUACAUACUCCAUAAAGAAUGUAUUAGAAUGUUGUCAAUGGGCCGUUUGUGCCUUUAAAAACAAAUACAACUUUCAACAACGGAUCUCUUGGCUCUC